GACUGGAUCAGAUGAUGCAAGAAGCCCAUUGAACCGUGCAUGCAUUCUAAAAGACAAAAUGGAAGACGUCGAGAAAUCUCUGUACUUUUUCUCAAGAAAAUUCAAGUUUUAUUGCAGUAAUGAAGACACAAACUACCACAAAAGCGUGAAGGAAGGCUUGCCACCCGCUAAGGAUGUUUUCCCAUCAACAAGAUUAGACAUCUUAGAUCUCCAAAGACCUCUCAUCACCCAAGCAUCUUCUCGUAAUACUUGAAUCAUCAAGGAUAAUACAAAAGAAAGAUGCAACUCGAUCAACAAGUAGACAUCUUAGCUCUCCAAGGGCAUCUCAUCAGCUAAGCAUCUUCUUGUGAUACUUGGAUGUUCCAGGCUUAUACAACAGGCUUAUACAAAGGUAUUUUGGUCUUAAAGGAAAUCUACCCAUCAACAUGUAGAUGUCUGAGACUCCAAACCAUCAUGCUGUCUGGCACACAACCUGCCUUUCUUUCAAGCAGAAAGUCUUGAAACUUGCCGAUGUCUUCCCGCCAACAAGUACACAUCUAAGAUCUCCAAGGACCUUUCAAUCAGCCAGACUUUUCUUGUAACACUUGAAUGUUCAAGUCUGAUACAAAGAUGUCUUCCAAUCAAGUACACAUCUGAGAUCUCCAAGGAGCUUUCCAUCAGCCAGAUACUUCUUGUGGCACUUCAAGCCUCAUACAAAAGUAUGUAAAUGUGUGCCAUCUUCAGAUAAUAUGUACCAACUUACAAGAUACUUUCCUGAGACGAGCGUGUGUCUAUCAUCAGGCCAAUGUCUACCCAUCACCAAUGUAAACAAGAGAGGUUUUCAACAGGUUUGUAAAUGAUUGGGCAACAAUACAUUUUGACACUACCCCGUCAGUAUAGUGGGCUGUUUUUGCAGCACUGUACCUCAAAGACAUGCCAUAACACUCUGAGGACUUCAUGCUGGCAUCAGCCUAACUCAGAUGAAUGGUGGUCCCUACAGAUCAAUUACAGAUUAACAAAAUGUAAACAUGUUUUAUUAACAUUACCCCUUGUAAUUAUAAUCUUAACACAUUAAUGAUCUUGCCAAAAACAAAAAAACUUGCCCAAAAAACACUGCUAUUCCACUUAUGACCACUUCAAUCCACUUCAAUUCUCCUAGUUAAUUGUUAUGGUGUGGAUUGUAUUGUAAACGUAAAAUUAUAUUUAAAUUCUAUUGUUAUACCAAACAUUAUCAAUUGUAUUUUAAUUAACUGUCUUGAAGAGUAUUCUUUCACCUGAAGAAGAUCUUUUUCCAUUUAAAGGCACUGGACACUAUUGGUUAUUAGUCAAAGUAAUUUUAGCAUAACAAGUACUUGGUAAGGAGCAAUUGAGAGCUGUUAAAACAAUUGCGAGAAAAGGCUCCCUCUGGAAUAUCAUACUUUUGGAGAAACGGGUAAUUUCUAACUCAAAUAUCAAAAGACUUCAGGUCUGAUGCCUUUAAUAUGCAUCUGAAAGCACACAAGUUUGUGCGACAACCGUGUUUUUUCUUUCAUAUUUCUCUUGCAACUUCCAUGACCAAUUGAGCAAAAACUUACACACUAGAUUGGUUAUUUACGCAAGUGGUGGGAUACACCAAGUGAGUGCACCGAAUGUGUCAAGUGCCUUUAAAGGAGAAAUCACCCCAUCAAUUCAUUUUUUUACAUUGGUAGACAAAAAACAUUAAAGGCAGUGGACACUAUUGGUAAUUACUAAAAAUAAUUAUUAGCACAAAACCUU
Molecule: long non-coding RNA, 1734 nt
Organism: Asterias rubens (European starfish)
Lineage: Eukaryota; Metazoa; Echinodermata; Asteroidea; Forcipulatida; Asteriidae
Exons: 7
Source: RefSeq, a predicted model, not a curated record